GACGUAGGGCGCGAGCGUUGUCCGGAUUUAUUGGGCGUAAAGAGCUCGUAGGCGGCUUGUCGCGUCGGCUGUGAAAACCCGCGGCUCAACUGUGGGCGGGCAGCUGAUACGGGCAGGCUGGAGUUCGGUAGGGGAGACUGGAAUUCCGGGUGUAGUGGUGAAAUGCGUAGAUAUCCGGAGGAACACCAGUGGCGAAAGCGGCCACCUGGACUGUACCUGACGCUGACACGCGAAAGCUAGGGGAGCGAACGGG
Molecule: ribosomal RNA, 253 nt
Filed under: uncultured bacterium
Lineage: Bacteria
Description: partial 16S ribosomal RNA
Rfam family: Bacterial small subunit ribosomal RNA
Source: RNAcentral